RNAcentral lists this long non-coding RNA (7234 nucleotides) under Monomorium pharaonis (pharaoh ant). Its description in RNAcentral is "uncharacterized LOC105835074, transcript variant X3". The record is from RNAcentral. Lineage: Eukaryota; Metazoa; Arthropoda; Insecta; Hymenoptera; Formicidae.
CAAGAGGUCAAAUAUAAAUCUCUUCGUAAAUGAAUGCAACAUAUAGUAUAUAAGCCAAAUUUACAUAUAAUUUAUCUACAUAUACAUAUAUGACUUUUGUAUUAAAAUAUCAAGAUUAUAGAUAUUUAUAAAUCUUAUGAAUAUUUGUCGAGUUAUCUCACACAAAUUGUGACGUAAGCACACUUUCAAUUAAAAUGUGAAUGUGUGUUAAGUAAAUUUUUAUACAGUUUUUGUCAGGUCAAUUUCAUAAUAUUACCGAAGUAUUAUUAAACAAUUGCAACUUUAUAAAGCGUGGAAACAAAACUAAUACAAAAAUAAAAAUUAUUUGAACAUAAUUUACAAUUUUAAUAAAUUAAUCGAUUUUAUAUAAUUUAAUCGAUUACAACUUUUUAUCGAUAACAAGCAUUUCGUGCAAAAUAUAUGUUUCUUUGCAACAGUUAUUUCAAUAAACCGCACUUCAAUUUUUUCAAAACAAAUAAAAUAAAAUAAGAUUUAAAAAGGAAUAGAUUAUUUAUAAAAAAAAUAUGCAGGAUUUGUUGAAUAUUUUUUGAUUGUAUGUAUGUAUGUACGUACACUUUAAAUAAUCCGCCUCGAUUAUCGUUCACCGAUUCGCGACGUAUCAGCGACACGGAGUGAAGUUAUUGCCGAUAGCUUCGAGAUUUUCGGUUAGUCGUGAGACGCCACGGAGAAUGGUUGUGGACGGAUCGACUGCGAGAUUCAGCGGCGGCGAUACGUUCAAUCGGCAAGUGCAACCGCAAUUAAUCCGAUCUUCGUCGAUCGCGCGACAAUGAGCUCGUCGUGGGUCACGCCGUCAACUUCCCGAGAUGCGCGUAUUUCGUGAGAUUCCUUCGAUCGAAACGAUCGACCGUGGCGAGUGGCCGUGGGCGAUGCCAUGUCCACCCUUCCGCGUAUGACGCGGGUCGUGGGUAUUCAUCUCGAUUCCAACUCGUGUAUUUACAUGCAUUCAUUCCGGCACAGCGUGUCGCGAUGGGGCAAUAGAGGGGAGGCGGUUUAAUCGCGACGUUUAAUCCCGAGGCGCGAUUAUGUGCCCUUUGUGCCAACAGGUGUGUGACGUCAUCGCGGCGAGCGACGUGAAUUUGGGCGCGCGAGCGGAUCGCGGCGUAACGUAAUGAAGUGAGCGUGCGGUUAAAGCGCGGGAAAUGACCGCGCGCGAUUUUCGGGAGUGCCGCGCGCAGAGACAUCGGGUGAUCGCGAUAUCUAGCGGCAACGGCAAGUGGUGCGUGCGUGAAUUUAACCUGUCGCAGAGAGAUAGCGUUGCGAGGGAGUGUUGAUGGUGUUGAUGUACUGUUAAUAGUGCCAUGUGGAUGAAGCAACAAGGGAUCAGGAAACAAGAGGAGGAGGAGGAGGCCCAGGAAGGGGUAUCAGGCGACGGCGGAACAACCGUGGAUUACACAAAACAAAUGGUUUUGCAUCAAUAUUUUAAUGUCCGCUGCUGUGCAUCGUACCGGUGAGUGUUGGAUUACUUUUAAUUCCGUCUGUUGAAACAAUGAAUUGACGAGGAAAGGUAUAAUACAAGGUAUAAUACAUAUGUAUAUGCAUGUACCUACAUAUAUAUGUUUUCAGGAUUGUAUCGUUAAACGUUAGUCUUGCCAUGCGCGCGGUACAAACUGCUAAUUGCAAACGAUUUGGGUCGAUUAGAUCUCACUAAUCGCGUGCAUUGAAGGUCGUCGAAGCAAUUUCAUUCCACGUCGGUAUUUGGAGGCGAUAAAGUGAGAUCUUAAUCGCCGAUUUCUAUUUUGGAUUGUUAUUGGAUUGACAUUGGAUUCUUUUGUACCAGGGAGCGCACGUCUCGACGACAUAAAAGGAGUUUCGUAUUAGGUGGAUUUGCCACGACAGAUAGCAUCCUGAUUUCGGCGUACCAAAAGUGACUUUGAAAAAAAGUGAUAAUGAAAAACAAGGAUAAGGAGAAUGACAAAGUAGAAGAAGAGAAGGAAGAAGAAACUGAGGAAGUGUGAACAGUUAGUGUGCUUGAUGCAGUAGUGUUUUUUUUGCAGGACAUUUAUCAAGGAAAUUUUUUCUUUCUGAAAUUUUACAAUGGAACUUUUGUUGAAAACACAAGUGAAUGAUGUAAGCGGUAUAUAGACGCUCAAUUGGUAGCUAGUUAAGAAAAUACGUAUAAUGUAACACUUGUAACACAGAAUACCGCAAGAUUCAGAAACGCAGUCGAGGGAUAUGACCUACUAAAGAAUGGACGUUUCCCAGGGAAUAUCGUACACAUGGGGCGUUACGAUUUAGAUGUCGACGUUUGAAAUGAGGCGCACGCUGCUGCGCCGGAAUUUUGCAGUUUCACAUCGUUUCCGACCCCACGGACCGAUCUCCCUUUACAUUUGCGGAUGCAAUAAGUUGCCUUGGCUUUUCCUCCCGCUAUCCGGUCGCACCAUACCAUCAUGCAUUAUCCAUGGUAAGAACCAGAUCUGGCCGCAUCCUACCGGUAUCGUUUUGAUACGCGCGAAUUGAAGCCUCCCGUGUAGCAUCAAGGAUCGAUUUGUCAUGGACGUCCGAUAUUAUAAAAGAACUUUUUCUCACGGAGCCGUUCUCAAUGAAAAAUGCGGAACGUUAUCUUUAUAGUGUUAAAUGGCGUGUAAUGCUCGAACUUACAAAAUAAUUGAACAUUACAUGCAGAAAUAAUACUUUGACAGUUUUUUUAUAGUUAAGCAACCUAAUAUUUUGGUUAAUGUCACUUAAGUAAAAAUUAUCUUUGUGUAACUUAAUAAACCUAAUUGUAGUUUUUUACAUUUACAUAGGAUUAAUUGAAAAAAAAUAUAUUCAAGAAUUAAACGUUUUUUAUAUUAUCAAAACGAUCAUAUUGUAUGUGUUUAGGUGAUCAUUUGCAAGCCUGAAAUUAAACGCAUAUUAUUAAAAUGCGUUUCAUACGAGUCACUGAUAUUAGCAUAUUGCAAUGAUAAUACACAGAAUUCUACGAAAGCUUGUCGCGGCAUUUAAAUAAAACGUUCUGUUAUCGUUGAAGACGUCUAGAUAGUUGUAUGACAUUAUAUAUUUAGUACGUUAUUUAAGUAGCGUCCUAUCUCGUCGGACAAACAACCACGGUAUGCCCCCAAGAUUUGUAUCUCCGUUUUAUGCAAGCGCCAGGAGAUCUUCGCACCUAAAUUAACUACCAACGUCUUGCGGUUAAAAGCGUUUGUUUUCGUUGCGGUUUUCAUACACGGUACAUUCACGAAAAUGUGCGCUAAGGCGCGCUAAAGUUUCGUUCUGAAUUUGCGCGCGGCGAUAAAUCCAUGUUAACGCUAAGCAAGACAGUAUAAUAUAGCGUGCAAGUUGCGGCACGCUAUUCGCUAUUUUCGCCAGUUUCGUUCGCGCUCGAUGAACCGUAAGGUACAUAAAGAAUAAUAAAAUAAAUGGAACUGACGUUUUCACGGUUUAACGCGUGUAAUUCGACUGGUCGUAUUCGCGAAACUUUUGCUUUAUGGUCCGUCGCAUUUGAGCACCAGGAAAUAAUGCAAAAAUUCACAAUGUUUCAAUAAGAACACAAUUUCAGCCAGAUUUAUAAUAUUCUAACAUCUAGGUUAAAGUGUUCCUAUCUGUAAUAUUAAGCAUGUGAUCGAAUUGUAUAAAAUACAUAUACAUAAUUUUUUAUUUCUCUCUUAUCAUUUGUAUUGUAUUUUUUUUUAUAAAGAAAGAAAUAUUAUAUAUGCUUCCAAAUUUUUAUACUUGAUGUUUUUUUUAUUGAAUCCACUAAUUAGAAAAUUUUACAUUAAAUUAGUCAAUUAGCAACGUUUGUAAUAUCGGGCGUUGUUCAAUUAAUAUCGCAAAAUUAAUGAAACGGAGCAGAGAGAAUUUAAAGUUUAAAAAUUGCAACAAUAAGUUCUGUACAAAUAUUCACGUAUAUUUAUUGCGCUAUUGAUUGACGAAGAUAUGUCUGUAUCUGUGUCUCUUUUCUCAUUAACCCGCGUUAUCAGAAAUAAGUUUACGGUAUAUCAAUUUAUAUGCUUUUGAGUACUGAUAAAGUGAAACAUGAUAUGGCUGUCGAUAUUUUUAGUUUUCCCGUUUUGCCGUUUAUCUUCUUUCUCUUUUCCUUCUAUUUGCUUCUUGUUCUAGCUAUUAACCGUUAUUGAGAUGAUUCUUAUCACAUGAAGAGGAAACUCGUUAGCGCACGAAGACCAUAAAUCGCGGAUGGGAAACAACGGAGUUCCGUUUGGCUUCCACGAAUACGAGAGCGGUUGCCUAAAUCCCCUAUCGGAAGCAUCUCGAUAGUUAUCAAAGAUCAUUCACAUUCUCCAUUAAUACUCUCAGCGAUGUUACAUACUGAACAACGAGAUGGAAGCUUACCCGCAAUGCUUAUUCGACUGCGUUACACUCGAAGCGAUGGCGAAGGCUUUCUAAUGUGGAUCAUGUUCAUUAUUAGCUCAAAGGAGGAGAGGGCCAUGGAAGAGAGAAGAACAAAAGGUGAAUGAGGAUGAUGAUGGAGGUAAAGAGCUUUCUAACGAGCCACGUCAUUCCCGUGGACGAAUGCCGGAAUUAUGGUUGAUACUCAUCACUGUGCGGUAUCGAUUGCAGUUACAGCGAGCGAUGGAAUCGAGUCGAGCUGCCGACGAUUUUGAUUAAAUUCACUCGCGGUCACGUUUAUACGGGCGAGUCGCGUUGAUAUCCAAAUAGAAGCAUUUCGUUUCGAAAUUUCACAUCGAUAUUUUAGAGCGAUAGGUAACGUGUAAUUCAAUACGUAUCGAUAGCAUCAAUGACAAGCUAUCAAAUGAAUCAAAGUAAUAAAGUAAUAAAUAAAAAGCCACGCACAAGUCAACAUUAGUGAUAUACAUCGAUUUACACAGUGACCAAUUAAAUGUACAAAAUCAUUGACAUUGACAAAUAAAACAUCUAAGACAACUCUCUUUCUCGAUUUAUUAUUAUACAUACGAAAAAUUAGCUAUCUCUCUAAUAAAUAUUUUAGACUUCAAAGCUAAUAGAUUAUUAAGUGUUUUGCAUUUUUAAUAAUAAUAAAUAAGCUCAAUUUUGCAAAGCAAAUAAAAGUGCUUUGAAUUUUAUUUGCUUUGCAAUUUUUUGUUAUUAAAAUAAAAGAUAGAUAAUAAAAAUGUGUCUUUUAAUUUAUUAUAUUAUGUCACAAGAAUUUUUCGAUUUGAUCGCACGAAAUAAAGCAGUAGUUGCCUAUUACUUGUUAUUUUUUAUUUUAUAUUUCUUAUUUAUGUAAUAUAUUGAUCCAAAUAAACGUUAGAAAUUAUAUAAUUUGAUUUAACCUUUUACAAAUAACAAAUUAAUUUAUUAUAAGCUUUUUUAUAACACUGCAAAAGAUGUGAUUUAAACAACCAAUCGUGCUUGUGAAAAUACAAAAUUGGUAAAUUAAACUAUUUAAAAAUAUAAGGAAUUAUUAAGUAAUAUUUAUUUUAUUAGUCGCGCUUUAAUUAGUCGCGCAAAAAUAUUCAUGACGUUAGUCAUGUGGAAUCAUCCCAAAAUAAACUGAGGAAACUAAAUAACAAAUAUAGUGAAAAAUCUACAGUUUUUAUUUUAAGCAAUCAAGUUAUAGUCUAACUUUUGAAAUAUUUUAAAAAUAAAAUAAGACUUGGACAUCGUAAUGACCUCGCGCGAAUAAUUAAAAAUUAACAAUUUAUUGACAAAUUUAAAUAUUUAAUAAAUAAUGAUCAUGAAAAGAUAAAAAUGUCAAAAUAAAACUGGCUUGAAUUUAUUUUUGUAAUUAUUACAUUAUUUUAUUCAAAUUAAUAGAAUUUAUUUAUACUGUCACUUUUUUGUUAUCAGUUUUUCUGUCUUUCUGUAUAUUAAUAUCAUUUGUUAUAAUAAAAUUUGUGGAUGGCACGAUUUAGAAAAGCUAAUAGAUUUUAUAAAAAUAUCUAUUUAUUCUUUAAUUUUAUAAUAAUAACUUUUCAAUCUUUAUAAUAAUAACUGAAAAUGUAUACAAUAAAUGUAAAAUAUUUAACAAUAAAUCUUCUUUUAUAAAAAUAUAUAUAAUUUUAGCACAAAAUUGUACGAAAUUGCUUUAUUGUUAGCUACAUAAAUUGAUUAAAAAUUGACAUCAGUUGUAAUAAUUGUAGAAAUGUUAUUAACACACACAAAACGGAAUGUAAAUUUUUACCUUAAUUAAUAAUAUUACUUAUUCCUCAUUUAUUUUAUUACACUAGUUUUAUCUUUAAUGGUCGUUUUAUCAAGUAAAUUUAUCAAGUAUUUAUCAAGUAAAAUAUAAAAUAUAUUGAUAUAGAACGAUUUAAACAACUGAUAUAUACGCUGCAAUAUAUCAUCAGAAAUAUUUGCUGUUAUUGCUAUCCUAAGCAGAAUGGAUUGAAGAUACAAUAUCGGCCGCAAAAUGUUGAAUUAAUGAAAACAUAUAUUCAUAUUUUUGUUAAUAUAAAUUUGUUGAUCGCUCUAUAAUAUUUUCGUGUACUUACAUCUUGUAAUAUCGUGAGUAGCAACUCAUGUACCGUUGGACGUAAAACAUCACCCUGUUAACAGAUAUACGACAAAUGCGUUCCUCGGUCACGGACAUUGAUCGACAUCGACGACGUAUCGACAAUGUUAAUCUGUCUCGUCGAAGGGCUGCGCCCACAUCGCCGUCCGAUCUCAUGUUGCUCGCAUGAACUCGCUGCGGUAGCAACACGAAGUAACUUCCGUGUCCACCAUUGAAAAGGAUGUUCAUGCUACUAGUAAAUUUUUAGCGUAGUUGUUUGCGUCCAUGGAUAACGAGUGAGUUAACUCUGAGUUUAUAUACAAACACAGUCCGAGUAACUAAAUAUUAAACACAUAUAGAAAGGAGCGUUACCAGUUUUUACAAACGAGAACGAGAUAAAUCUUUACUUACACGAGGUAUAUCUUCAAUUCUACAGGUAAUAUAAAAAUAUAUGAAACAGAUUUUUUGACAAGAGUACAUAAUAAUGAGUUCGUAACGGACAGAUCCAAAUAUAUACAUUUCCCAAUCGUACAAAAGCCUAUGCGGAUUAAAUAUAAUUGUUUCCAAGAGUAAUUCCGAAACCAGUUAUUACUUUUCGUCCGCAAAGAAUUUUAGUUUGCUUUCUCGUUCGUUUGAGACAAUUUCUAAAUAAAAUAAACUAUUGAAGUAAAAUAAAAGAUAAAGAUUUGUGAAAAACGAUUUCUAAAAAGAAAAUAGAUACGGAGAAUAUAAAAUCAACGAUAUUAUACAUAUAUUAUAUCGAUGAUUUCAACUUAAUUAAUUUUCUUUCAUUCGAGAUCACGAAACUGUUGUCUUCGUUAUUUGACGUGAAAAAAAAAAAAAAAA